Molecule: ribosomal RNA, 252 nt
Filed under: uncultured bacterium
Lineage: Bacteria
Description: partial 16S ribosomal RNA
Rfam family: Bacterial small subunit ribosomal RNA
Source: RNAcentral
UACGGAGGAUGCGAGCGUUAUCCGGAUUUAUUGGGUUUAAAGGGUGCGUAGGCGGACGCUUAAGUCAGCGGUAAAACUGCGGGGCUCAACCUCGUCGAGCCGUUGAAACUGGGUGCCUUGAGUGGGCGAGAAGUACGCGGAAUGCGUGGUGUAGCGGUGAAAUGCAUAGAUAUCACGCAGAACUCCGAUUGCGAAGGCAGCGUACCGGCGCCCAACUGACGCUGAAGCACGAAGGCGUGGGUAUCGAACAGG